UACGUAGGUGGCAAGCGUUGUCCGGAUUUAUUGGGCGUAAAGAGCGUGUAGGCGGCCAGACAGGUCCGUUGUGAAAACUCGAGCUCAACCUCGAGACGCCGAUGGAAACCGUUUGGCUAGAGUCCGGAAGAGGAGAGUGGAAUUCCUGGUGUAGCGGUGAAAUGCGCAGAUAUCAGGAAGAACACCCGUGGCUAAGGCGGCUCUCUAGUACGGUACUGACGCUGAGACGCGAAAGCGUGGGGAGCGAACAGG
RNAcentral lists this ribosomal RNA (252 nucleotides) under uncultured bacterium. Its description in RNAcentral is "partial 16S ribosomal RNA". It matches the Rfam family "Bacterial small subunit ribosomal RNA", at positions 524 to 776 of the family's 1533-position model. The record is from RNAcentral.